This 440-nucleotide ribosomal RNA is filed under the name uncultured bacterium. RNAcentral's name for it is "partial 16S ribosomal RNA". It matches the Rfam family "Bacterial small subunit ribosomal RNA", at positions 338 to 795 of the family's 1533-position model. The record is from RNAcentral.
CCUACGGGUGGCAGCAGUGGGGGAUAUUGCACAAUGGGGGAAACCCUGAUGCAGCGACGCCGCGUGUGGGAAGACGGUCCUCUGGAUUGUAAACCACUGUCCCCAGGGACGAAGAUGACGGUACCUGGGGAGGAAGCUGCGGCUAACUACGUGCCAGCAGCCGCGGUAAUACGUAGGGAGCAAGCGUUGUCCGGAAUUACUGGGUGUAAAGGGAGCGUAGGCGGGAUGGCAAGUUGGGGGUUAACUCUACCGGCUCAACUGGGAGUCGCACUCAAAACUGCUAUUCUUGAGUGAAGUAGAGGCAGGCGGAAUGCCUAGUGUAGCGGUGAAAUGCGUAGAUAUUAGGAGGAACACCGGUGGCGAAGGCGGCCUACUGGGCUUUUACUGACGCUGAGGCUCGAAAGUGUGGGGAGCAAACAGGAUUAGAUACCCCUGUAGUC